RNAcentral lists this unclassified non-coding RNA (332 nucleotides) under soil metagenome. RNAcentral's name for it is "partial contains 5.8S ribosomal RNA, internal transcribed spacer 2, and large subunit ribosomal RNA". The stretch from base 1 to 120 matches the Rfam family "5.8S ribosomal RNA", at positions 35 to 154 of the family's 154-position model. The record is from RNAcentral.
GAUGAAGAACGUAGCAAAAUGCGAUAAGUAAUGUGAAUUGCAGAAUUCAGUGAAUCAUCGAAUCUUUGAACGCACAUUGCGCCCGCCAGUAUUCUGGCGGGCAUGCCUGUUCGAGCGUCAUUUCAACCCUCAAGCACAGCUUGGUGUUGGGACUCGCGUUAAUUCGCGUUCCCCAAAUUGAUUGGCGGUCACGUCGAGCUUCCAUAGCGUAGUAGUAAAAUCCUCGUUACUGGUAAUCGUCGCGGCCACGCCGUUAAACCCCAACUUCUGAAUGUUGACCUCGGAUCAGGUAGGAAUACCCGCUGAACUUAAGCAUAUCAAUAAGCGGAGGA